Molecule: non-coding RNA, 25702 nt
Organism: Rattus norvegicus (Norway rat)
Lineage: Eukaryota; Metazoa; Chordata; Mammalia; Rodentia; Muridae
Source: RefSeq, a predicted model, not a curated record
AUGAAGGGGGUGUGUCUUUUUUCAGGACUGUGAGGGGUUUUUGCUAAAUUUGGAAGCAGUUUCAGUUUGUUUACCUCAAGCAGUUCAUGGCCCUGCCCACCCGGGCCUUAUAUGGCUUUUUCACCCCUUCAUGAACUUCCUCCCAGACGGGUGGGGCCAGGAAGGUGGUGAUGGUGGUGGUGGUAAGACCAGAAAAGGAGUCAUCAGAUCCCACCAGGUUGCUGGGAUUUGAACUCAGGACCUCUGGAAGAGCAGUCAGUGUUCUCAACCUCAGAGCCAUGUCUCCAGCCUUGGCUGGCCUUCUUUUCUAUCUUUUCUACUUCAUAGUGAUAACUAACUUGCAUCUCUGUGGACCUGCUUUCUUUUCAGUGGAUUUACCUAACGCAUAUGGGCUUCUCAGACAAGGUCCACUGUUCUACCUUAGUGUGCCGGUUGCUUUCUUUUUCCUUCUCACUAGGUAUUUUCUUUCCUUUUAUAUUAUAUUUUAUUAUAAUUAUUUAUUAUAUAUUUAUAUAUAAUAGGUUUAUUUUAUAUUCUUUCUUAGAAAUUAUAAAAUAUUUUAAGUGUGUUUGUGUGUCUUAGUUAGGGUUUCCAUUUUUGUGAAGAGACACCAUGACCAAGAUAAGUGUUAUAAAGGGCAGCAUUUAACUGGGCUGGCUCACAGGUUCCUAGGUUCAGUCCAUUAUCUUCAAGGCAGGAAGCAUGGCAGCAUGCAGGCAGGUGUGGCGCUGGAGAUAGAGAUGAGAGUUCUACAUCUUGUUCUGAAGGGAACCCUAGGACUGUCUUCCAGGCAGCCAGGGGAAGGGUCUCAAAGCCCACGCCCACAGUGACACACUUCCUCCAGUAAGGCUACACUUACUCUCACGAGGCCACACCCCCUAAGAGAGUUGCCUUGAGUUCUGGGCCAGCCUGGGCCACAUAGUGAAUUCCAGAGCAAGGCAGGGUAAAGAUAAGACCUUGUCUCAUGAAAGGGGCUGUGGAAUUGGAGAGAUGGUGCAGCAUUUGGGGGCCAUGUGCUGCUCUUGCACAGGACUGGAGUUUGGUUCCCAGGCAUUCAUAGCCACCUGUAACUCCUUUGCUAAUGUACCCACCCGAACUCCUCAGUCCCCUCCAGGCCCAGAUACCUUCAUAGGCUCAUGUGCAAACACAUGCUUAAAAUAAAGAAAGAAGGGUUCCUGUGAGCUUCUUCCUGUCCAGAACAUGUGCGGUGCAGGGCUAAGGGGUCGGGGUUCUGUCCCCUGAAAACCUCUCAUCCUGGGAAGGAGAAAAAGAAGAGCAAGAAGCAAUUGACCCAUUGCUGAAGUACAAACUGAAACGGACAGACGUAAUGAACAGGCAGUGAGGACAUUCCGAAAGUGGAACAAAAGGUAACAAACUCCACCAACCAUGUUCUUCAGAAGAGGUCAGAAUUGAUCGCCAGGAUCCGAAAUUUUGGGGUAACAACCUUCAAAGUCCACUGGAAUCAGAUGGCUCCAGGGUUAAACUUUUGGCGUGCAAGCAAGAGAUCUAGUGCUGGGGUUCUUUUUCCCACCCUUCUCCAUCCCUCUUCUUUGUGCCCCCGUCCACCCCGCAAGCACUAGAGAAGAGAGGAGAGGAAAGAGAUCCCUUAAUAAAGUCUGGUCAGAAAGGGGCAACAGUAUCAUUGGACUACUUCCUGCUGACUGGGGGCAUUGAGCUCCAUGGGGUGAGUUUGAUCUUUGCAGUCAGAAUAUCUAAUUUUUUUCUUCAUGUUUCUUCUUAUGAACGAGACCAACAGCAAUCUACAGCCCAGCCUGCCCCCCUGAAAAGUCCCCAGGAUUCCAAGCAUGGCACAGUUGCAGAAACUGUCUGCCGUUGGCAAAGUCAUGGCCCUGCUAAGGCAGGAGGCAAAUCAUGGUCAGGUGACUUGAAGCAGCCCCAUGUCCCCACAGCUGGGAUUAAAAACAAAAUCACAUUCUUAUAGUUCAGUGUUUUUAAGGAAACCAAGAUUCCAAAAUCCUCACUCUAUGAGCUCGUCAGCCUGCGUGUAACUCUAAACUCCAGAGGUGGAGCUUGGACUCCCCAGAGCAAGCUGGCCAGCCAUAUCGGUGGGCUGUGGGUUUGACUGAAGGCCUUGUCUUGAAUAGCCAGUCAUUGUUGUUCUUCUUGUGACUUGGGUUGGGUUUUGGUCUCUUACCCUGCUGCAGAGCAACAGCCACUGGUUAGGGUUUAAUUUUUUUUGUUAUGAUUUUAUUGCUGUUGUGUUGGUCAUGGGGUUAUGUUGCAUGUGUGCUGUAGCGUGUACAGAGAGGUCAGAGGACCCUUCUACCUUUAGAACAUGGUGGAGUUCUAGGCAAAGAAGAGUUUGAAGAGGCCUCUUGGCUGUGGGCCCUACCCGCCUUCCUUGGCAGCGAGGAGACAGGUAGGGGCUAUCCCAGUGUCUGUCCUAUCCCACCAGUCUGUCCAGUGCCAGGGCAGUCAUUUUUGCAGCCUUCAUCUCUGCAGGAGGAGGUGGACUCAGGUCACUGACUUCAGAGCACACACUUUACCCACAGAGCAAGCUCCCAGUUAUGUGGGAAACACCAGUUCAGGCCAUUACGUCCCUAGACCCACAUGCUCUGAGGAUCUCAACUUUUCAGUUCUGCAACAUGAAAUUUUGCUGUUGGGUACGGCUGGGUCUAACUGGUAUUCCAAAAGAGUAUUCAAGUCUGUGAACAGGAGCUAAGGGGUUGGCGACCAUAUUAAACCCUUUAAACCUGUGAUUGGUGGCGUUUCCCAGUCCUUUAAAGGGGCUGAGGAUGGGGGUGUGGGUGAGGGAGAGAUGUCUAAGACUUGUACCCCAGGGGCCCUGAGAUGGUUCUAUGGGGAAGAACUCUCACCACCAAGCCUGAUGACCUCAAGUCACAUUGAUUCCCAGGCCCACGUGGAAGGAGAGAACCAGUUCCCUAAAACUGUCCUGUGAUCUCUGUACACAUUUAUGCAUGGAUGCACCUACACAGACCUACACACAAAACAAAUGCUUCAGAAGCAAAAAACAAAACAAAACCAAAAAAAUCCAAUGCUGCUCCCCUCCCCCCACCACUGAAUAAACCUUGAGCUGGCAAAAUGACUGAAUGGGAAAAGGGAAUUACCACCAAGGCUAUCAGUCUGAUUGGAUAUGGGCAGUUUUCUGUUGGUUUGUGGGGAAAAAGAAACCUAAGGCCAGGAACUGGAAAGUGAAAGUGGAGGAGGCUGUGGGCGGGGCUUGUCCCCCAGCCAGCGCUCUUACAGGACAGUGCCCGGCUUCAGUACCUUGUUUACUGGCCCUGAGCAUUCGCAUUCUGAAAGACUGAAGCUGUGGAUGACACUGGCUGCAAGGUCCCAGAGGCAGUAAUUAGGGCUCAUCACAGCACUCUCUUGAACCUUUGCCUAAAACUCUAGUGAGCGUGGGAGGCACAACCCAGCACCUGCUGGAUAAAGGGUUACUUUGACUCAUUCCUUUUUCUCUUGUGCAGUCUGUCCUCAGCCCUCCCAGGUAAUGAGCGCCUAAACCCAUGCUCUCCCUGUCCCCUCGUUCUUCUUUGCCAUGCAUGUGGCAAAGAUUAAUUCUCCUGAUGUUGAUUUUGGAACGGGGACAGGACAGACAAAACUUCCACACAAGGCUGCUGGGGAGAGGAGAGCAGUAGGAGGAAGACAGGAUGCUCAUUGAGUAACAAAGGAAUCCUUGUUUCUUUUACCCAGGCCCACCUUGCACUGCAACUUUCCAGCCAGGUUUCUACAGAAAUCCCCACUGCCCUUUGUUUGCCAUUUGUCCGCUGCUUAGCAUUGACUACCUGGAACUGCCAGGCUCCCCAAACCUUUAUAUAUUAUCAUUUCCCAAGUGAGUUCCCAAAGCCAAGGCUGCCUCUGGCCAAAAGAGGUCAGUGUGAGGGGCUGGAGCAGUGACUCAGUGGUUAAGAGCACUGGCUGCUUUUCCAGGGGAUCCGGGUUCAAAUCCCAGCACCUGCAUGGAGACGGAGGCUCACAACCACCUCUAACUCCAGCUCCAGGGGUGAUAACGACCUCUUCUGGUCUCUGAGGGCACCAGGCAUGUAAGGGAUGCACAGAUAUGCAUGUAAACAAAGCAUGCAUUUAAUACAUUUAAAGAAGGUUUUAAGAGAUGGGUGUGAUAGAACACCUGGCCAUCACCAUCAUGGGACAGGAGCUGCCCUGGUGACUGAGCCGAGACCCCACCUUGUGGCCAACAAUGGCAUAGGCCACAUAUAAAAUUGAGGGGGCUGUUGGCAUUUUUCUGUUGGAAACAAGGGAGCUAACUUUAUAGAUAGCUGCCCUCCUAGAGUCAUUAGCCACCACCUCCUCCCUGCUCGCUGCCAUUGGCUGAUACUAAGGUCGUUAAUGCAUCUUAAAGGAAACAUAAACCAGGGCAGGGGCACUUGGGAGGCACGACCACCCGAGGUUAUACCCAGUGAUCCACACACUACCUUGAGUCGGACCCAUUACUCAUGGGUGAGCCUUUCCGUCAUUUUCUGAGGGGUUGGUACUGUCCAAACUCAUUAGAAUGUGGUCUGCUGUGUGAGAUGAGAAUGCCCUGGCAGAGUUUAGUCUCUGUUUGUUUUAUAAAGUGUCCAGACAGAGAGCAGCCUGAGGGAGGGAGGGAGGACUUUAUUCAGUUUAUAAUUCCAGGUUACAGUUAUCAGGAAGCCAAGGAAGCAGGGAUUUAGAACAGCCAGCCAUGCCACAGUUAGAAACACAGCCAGCCAUGCCACUGUAAGAUAGAUCCAUAGCCAGCCAUGCCAUUACUGAUGGUUGUGAGCCACCAUGUGCUUUCCUGGGACUUGAACUCAAGACCUCUGGAAAAGCAGUCAGUGCUCUUAACCGUUGAGUCAACUCUUCAGGUCUAGACUUUUUUUUUUUUUUUUUUGAAACAGGGUUUCUCUGUGUAGCCUUGGCCAUUUUGGAACUUGCCUUAUAGGCCAGGCUGGCCUUGAACUCAGAAAUCCACAUACCUCUGCCUCCUGAGUGUUGGGAUUAAGGCUUGUGCCACCACCACCCAUGAAACAGCAAACACUCUUAACCACUGAGCUAUCUCUCCAGUCACCAUACAUCCCAGGCCUUUUAAUGACCUUGUGUGGACUCUAAAGACACUGGAUGUCUAGAGAUAAACAGACAGCAGAGUUGACCAUGGUGUGCCCUAUUCAUGCCAUCUCUCUGGCCACUUAAAAAAUAUUUUUAAGAUUUAUUUAUUAUAUAAAGAUGUCUUCAGACACAAUAGAAGAGAGUAGCAGAUCUCAUUACAGAUGGUUGUGAGCCACCAUGUGGUUGCUGGGAUUUGAACCAGGACCUCUGUAAGAGAAGUCAGUGCUCUUAACCACUGAGCCUUCUCUCCAGCAUUUGUUUUGUUCUAAAACAAUGACCAUAAGAGGAAUGGUGGACUUCUAGCUUGUUCUGCCUACAUUAACAAAAGCACAUCACACCCCCAGCUCACAAACCUGUGUGCAAUGUCAUUACCACCACACAACGGUGCUGCGUUACACUGUUGGAAACCGCAUUUCCACUCAGUGCAGGUAAAAGCAAUAGGAAACACCCAGCCCAGAGUCAGAUUAUUUUCUGUUGUGUAGUCGGGUGUCCAGGGAGGCAAGAAGGUCUGGGAUUGCCAGUUCUUCACAUUGUCCUCAGGGGAAGCAGCUCCCUCAGAUGUUUAGUCAGAACUUGUCGCUCAGCCCCACGAGGCAACUGUCUGAAGCAGUAGAAAAAGAGUGCUGAAGUCAUUGUAAAAACCAGCCAGCCCUGGCAUAUCAAGUUGUAGUUAUUUUAUAAAUUAUGUUUAUAUGUGUGUUUGUGUGUGGGUCUAUGAGUGCAGUGCCCGAGGAGGACCAAACAGCAUCUGAUUUCCUGGAUCUGGAGUUGCAGGUGGCUGUGAGCUGCCCCCUUAGUGCUGGGAACCGACCUCUGGGUCUUUGCAUGAUGUAGGCUAUGCUCUCUUAAGAGCUGAGCCACCUCUCCAGUCUGUUCAGUACUCUGUAAACAUACAACACUGUAGCUAUACAAACGGUAGUUAUUAGAUGGUCAAUUAUAUGCUAAACCCACCAUGGAAUGUCUCUGUCUUGCUAUGCUGAAUCCACUGGAUCAUCAGAAAGACGAAUAUGGUUUGCAGUUCUGUGUGGAUAUCAGCCAGUAAAUAAGUGGUUACCAAGCUACAGUCUUCUGGCCCAGAGAGGUUAGGCGUAGAGGAAGGGACACAGGGCUCUCCCUGAGAGGAAAAGUAGGAUAGAUUUUAUGGCUGGACUGAUGCCGGGGGUUGGGGUUGCACAUGAGCAGGAUAAUGAGGUGUGGGGAGAAGGGAGAAGAAGGACAUAAUGUGGGGAGAGACAGCUAGAAUUGAGGGGCAGAAGGGAAGCCAAAUGUAGUGGAAACUUCUUAUAAUAUGAAGUCUAUAAAUAGUGAGGGAGACAUUGCCCUAACUGGCCAUCUCUUGCCACCAAAUGAAACUUCCAGUACCAGAAGUGGGUUAUAUCCAAUCGAGUUAUUGAUCAGAAGGGUCCCAUAGAAAUCCCCAAGCAAUCCAGGCUGUUACCUCUCACAAGCUGACAGCAAAAGCCUUGCCACCCAUGACCUCUCCAUGUCACUGUUAAACUGGGUCGUUGAUGGGAGAGUUGGGGACGAGGAAGGCAGCAUUUGACACAGGCCUCAGUGUCCCAAACUGGAUUGCUUGCAGGACCCGUGCAAAGCUGAUCCAAGAAGGGCCACAAGAACUGCAUGUGGCUCUGGUUACACUGCAGAAUGCACUAGUGGGCAUGAGCCACGAUGCAGAUGGCAGGCACUGGAGACCUGGCUGGUUUGGAUCUCCAUGGUAACCAAUUACACAGACUCUAAGUGCUUGCUGAGGCAGGUGCCUUGGGGAACACUCAGGACCCAGUUAGGGGAACCAGGGAACACAUGGCUGGAUCCUUGCAAAGCAGCAGUGCCAGGUGUGAACACUAAAACCGUUAAUGGUAGCAAGUUUCUGAAGGGUCUAAGAUUAAGUGGCAACUCUUACAAAUGGUGGAAUAUGGAAAGUGGAAGUGAUUUCCUUGGGGCUGUCUACAUCACAGCCUGAGGACCAAUUCGAGUGUGACAGGGACAGUGGGGGAAGUUAGGAGCAAUUUUAUCUUCUAUAAAGGCUAAGUUACUCUCCAUAUUGAAGAAUCUGCGAGUAUAUGGUUGGAAUAGGGUAGCAGAUAAAUACUGCUAAAUGUUUGUUUGGUCUGCAUUAAGCACCCCAGGCCUGAGUUUCCUGCUUGAUACCCACAGACUGAUUAGAUGCAGCAGCGGGGCGGGCCUAAGCUCUGGAAUGCCUUUUGUUCCUGCCUCACUCACCUGAUUAGUGGAGAUGAACCAGGAGGCAGCUUUUAGGGAAUGCACUGGUUGUUGCCUUCUUGGGUGUGCUCCCCGAGAACUAGACUCUGCAGAAACCAGGAAAUGGAAAGAGAAUUCACAGAAAGUGGUUGAGGCCCAGAUCUCACCCUCCAGCCUUAAAGGACAUCCUAGGACAGGAUGAAUCUGAUUUGUUAGCUUGUGUAGCUAAUUGUCGCUGUGAAAGCCUUUUCAGCCAGGGGCAGACUGCCCCCUGGUGGCCAGGCUGAGAAACUGUUGUCCGCCUGACUCUGGAUGAGUUCUCUGUUCCAAGUCCAUGCUUGUGUCCUGAACUGUUAUUCUUCUAUCUUAAAAGAAACACUAUUUCUUCCUAUCAGUCAAAAAAUCAAUCAAUCAAUCAACCAAACUACCUACCUAUCAACCAAUCAAUCAGUCUGUUAGUCUGUCUGUCUGUCUAGCCUGGAAUUCACACAGUUCCUGUAUCUGCCUCUCGAGUGCUGGGAGUAGAGGUGUGUCCCACCAACAUCCAUCAAGAGACAGUAAUUCUAUAGACAUAACGCAUUUUGAGUUGUAGGCGGACCUGGUACUAGGAUGAGUGACCCCAUUAUCUUGUAACAGAUGUCACUGCCUAAUGCCUGCCACACGCAGUCUAAGUCAGAUGCUGACACUGCAGCUGGUCCACCAGAAUCUGAGGUUUCCAGUUGUCAGCUCUUGUUGGUUCUCAGGUGGACCCCACAGUGUACUCUUAGGACCAGUAUGGAGUCACCUUCUGCAGAAGAAGAGGCUGCAAUGUAUUCUCAGAGCCAGCCAUCCCGAUGGCUUUGUGGACACUUCUUUCCUGGCCUUUUGUCAGUAUGUCGAAGUAGGAUUGAGUCGUGCUGCCUGUUGCUUGGCCUUGGUUUUACCAGUGCUUUGUGGGUGAAGGAGCCAUGGAGGUGUGUUACCACGGAAGCUUUUUACGGGAAUUUUUAAAUUCAGUGAACAUUUAUCAAAUCUGUCUGGGACUGUGCUAAGUACACAGCCCAUUGUAUUGUACAGGAGCCAGGACUGGUCAUUACCCACAGCUCACGGAGCAGAGCACAGGCUGUGGGAUUAAGAUGGGCAUGUGAAGGUUCUCCAAAGCCUGGGGACCUGUGGCACAGAAUGCUGGAACUUACUGGUACUGAAAUGUAACUAUGACAAAAGCCUGUGGGAAAAGGUAAUGAAGUGUGUGGAGUUCGGGCUUUUAUUACAGCAAACAUCAUUGCCUGUCAGAGCACUGUAUCUCUGUACCUAGGGCCAGGGAGCUGGAAGGGAUAGCUAGAGCAGACCGGUUCAUGAACCCAUCUGCCCUAUAUUGGGGAUGGAGUUCAAACCAUUUAGGGUCGGGUCCGCAAGUUAGCAGGUGGCUGGGGCCAUCUUCAGGAGUUCUCAGUAUAGAGGAGAAAUGAGAGCCCCAGGCUGAAUUCCCAGUGAAGAAAGAGAGGGAGCUGCAGCCUUGUCCAGUAGGGCAGCAGUGUGGACUGCAGGGCUGGGUUCCUCUGUAGAGGCAUCUCCUAAAGGUCCUGGGGUCAGUAGCAUGAGGAGAAUUUUCAGACAUCUUACUUCCUGUCUGGGAAGAGGAGUAAGCCAGUUAGAGAAAACCAGGAAUGUGAAGGGAAGGGAGGAGAGAAAGCCCAGAGGAAGACCACAGAUGUUGAAGGUGUUUUGGUUGGGGGGCAGGGUCAGGGUGGCGUUGACCAUUGUGGUGCAGUGGACCCAUUGAAGAGAUGAGUUCAAAGGCCCAAUAUAGAGGAAAACUAGAGUAUAAUAUAGUGGAGGGAGGUGCAGGCAUUGGAAUAAGGAUGUAAUUGUCAAGAAAUUUGGCCAUGGGAUGGAGAGAAAACUCAGCAAUUUAGGAGCACUUGCUUCUCCCUUUCAGAGUUCCGAGCAGCCACAUCCAGCAGUUCACAACCACCUGUACUGGUGAUGGCGUUCAGAUAGUUGUGCGACUACAGCUCAGCUAUAUGCUGAAGUAUUUCUGCAUCAGUAGGUAGUAAUGAGUAACUGCAACAGCAGGAAAAACAUCUCUCAACCAUAUUCCCCACCCCUAGAGCUCAAGAUCCCCAACAGCCUAGGGUAAAGAAAGGGUCGUCUGGCCGCACCUGCGACUCCGCACUGCCACCUGCUGGUGCAGCUGCGUCUUGGCGGCGCAGGGGAAAUCCUGAGGUUGUGUUUGUCUGGAGUUGGGCUGUGGAGCACGCCUUUAACCCGUUUUUCAGGCUGAAACAAGAGGAUUGCUGUGAAGUGGUAAGCUAUCCUGGGCUAAAUAGCACGACCUUACCUCAUAAAACAAAAAUUACCUUCGAGCUAUUGCGUCGCUGCCGUUUUUAAACCGUUUUGCUUCGUUCUUCUCGUAGCAGAUAUCAAUGACUUCUAAUUAAACGUUAAAGCUGAACGAAGUUUGGAAAAAUUUUUUCUUUUCUUUUUUUUCGGGGGGUUUUAUCUCCUGAGACAGGAAUUCUCCGUUUAGACCUGGCUAUCUUGGAAGUCAUUCCGUAUACCAGGUUGGCCUCGAACUCAAGACACCAACUUUCCACUGCCUUCGGAGUGUUGGGACUAAAGGCGUGUGCGACCAUGGCUAGCUGGCAUUAAUUUCUAAUACCAUCUGAGUCCAUCCUUUGAGUGAAAUGGUGUCACUACCCCCCCUGCCCCCCACGUAGGUUCAAGUAUUUGAAAGGUUGGUGUGGGUCUGGUAGUGGUUUUCUGGUACCUUUAAGAAGGUGGAGCCUUGCUAGCGGAAGUCCCACCCAGUGGGCGGGGCUCCAGAGUGUUCAGCUGUUCCGGCGUAGCGGAGCUUGUGCGCCAUGACACCUCAAAUCUCAAAUGCCACCACAGCUCCAAUGAUCACAGCUCCAAUAAUGGCCACAGCAGAGACGGCUCCAACGACAACAUAAAUGACAUUGGUUUCCAUGUUGGAAUCAGUGGAUGAAGGAGGCUCUGGGAAGGACAGUCAGUUUUGGCUUCAAAGAGGCACUGGCCUCAGGGUCACAAGGGUCUUCAGACAUCUGAAUGCCUUCCCAUAGAAGUUGGAAGCACUUUGAAGACAAACGGUUACUUAUGUUUGCUGGUUCCUGCCUCCCAGAAGACGCACACUAUGGGUUACAUCUGUGAAUGUCAAACAGACCCUGGGCUCUGGGACGGUCUGUCAGGGCACUGAGGGAUUAGGUGAGGCAGGUAAGUCUUCCUGCUGCCAUUUCCAGACACAUACCUGCUUGCUGGUGGAAGCCAUCUGCUCUCUGACUCCGGUCACCAGAGCUGUUGUAGUAUUGCUGAAUGUUUCUCAGGCUCAACUGGAAGAUCUUCAUCCGAUUGGUGAAAACCUGGGUCUCCUCAUCAAAGUAAUAUGGAUUUUCCCUCAGCCAGUCAGCACAAGGCUCUGCCUCCAUCUUCCUACUGUCAUAGUGGAUGAAGGGCUGGUUAUCUACAAAGCCACUGGCAAAAAAUGCAGGAACUCCUGGGCCCGGCUCUGUCACGGCUGAGUAAGAAUAGUGCAGAGAGUGUGAUCCUGAGGUAAGAAAAGGAUUUAGUGUGAGGUACCAAGUGCACGCGCGCACACACACACACACACACACAGACACACACACACACACACAGACACACACACGUAAAUGAAAACAAUAACAACCCACCAGCUAGGAGAGUCAGAUUCCACACUGUGCACUAGGAUAAUUCAGAGAAUCAACAAAUGAGCGUUAGGGGCUGGGGCCAUGGCUCAGAGGUUAAGAGCAUGUGUCACUCUCAUAGAGGACCUGGUUCAAUUCUCAGCAUCUACAUGGCCUCUCCCAACCGUCUGUUCUUCCACCUCCAGGGGAUCUCAUGUCUUCUGACCCCCAAAGGGUGCGGUCUGUGUGUGGUGCACAUAUAAAGCUGCAGCACCUCAGUCUCUCCAUAGCAGAGUUUUGAUUUUGUUUUUAGUUAAUUAAGGAAGGUAGGAUACAAAGUGAUGGGUUUCAUCUUCCCGCCUUUGUGCAUUUGUGCAUUGUGCUUGUGUAUAGUUAUUUUGUAUCCUAAGUGCUGGGGGCUGAACUCGGGACUCUGCAUCCCAGACAGCUGCUCUCCGGAGCACUGCCUGUCGUCCCAGCAUUGUUUCCUUUCUGUGAAGAUCAUUUUAGGGCCUGAAGAGCUGGCACCUGCUGCUCUUACAGAGGAUUCAAGUUUAGUUCCCACACCCACAUGGCUGUUAACAACCACCUGUAACUCUAGUCUCAGGGGAUCUGGUGUCCUCCUCUGACUUGGGCAGGUGUUUAACCUAUGUGAUGCACACCCCACCCCCAACCACCCCUACAGAGGCCAGGAGAGGGUUUCUGAUGCCCUGGAGGUGGAGUUACCAGUGGUUUUACUGGGAACUGAACUCCCACCCUUUGCAAGAGCAGUAUGUAUUCUUUACUGGUGAACGACCUCUGCUGCCUCUGCCAUUAGACUUUGUUACCAUUUGAACCAUCUAAGCAGCCUCUGCCAUUACAGUCUGCUACCAUUUGAACCACCUCUGCAGCCUCUGUCAUUUGACUUUGUUACCAUGUCCUCUUCCCCUCACUGUUGAGUUCCACACUCCUUCUCCUUCUCCAGCUGCUUCCAUUUCUUCCCUAGUUAAACACAGCUCUGCUGCUUCUGUUUUUUCACAUGUUCUGUAUCACCUGCCUCCUUUAAGAUCUCUUCCAUGUUUCUAUCGUGUUUUGCAAUCCUCCCAUAUAUUUAAAAGCACAUACACACAUGGGUACAUAAUUUUGUUUUUUAAAAAUGUUCAUUUUUGAGACAGGCUCUCAUGUAGCUGAGGCCGGUCUUGAACUUCUGAUCUUUCUGCAUCCACCUCCCAAAUGCUGGGAUUACAGGUGUGCACCAUCAUACUCAGCACACACACCCAAAAUAAUAAUUUUAAACCGGAGUUCUAGAGAUGAGAAAAUUAUAUUUGUCCUUCUGAGGCUUGCUUAUUAGAGUAUUGAUUUCAUCUAUGAGAGAGAUUGAAUCCAUCUCUCACAGUAUCAUAAUUUAAUUUUGCCUUAAAAUGUCAUGGAAUUUCAUUUUAUAGCCAAGUAAGAUUUCAUUGUGUUAUAUCAAACUCUAAUGUGUAUUUGUACUUUAUUUUUUUUUUUUUGAGGCGGGAUUUUUCUGUGUAGGCUUUGCUUUUCCUUAUCUAGUUGUCUGUGCAUGCACACCCAGGCAGGAUUUCCAGGUUUUGUGGGUGUUCCCUGUUUGGAAGGAUGAGAAGCCAGCCCACAUCCUGAAAUACAUACAGUAGUUAUUUUCUGGGGUCAGGGUGAUGUCCAGGGUUGCCUAGAACUCAGCAGUCCUCAUACUCAUCCUCCAAAUGAUUACAGGCCACAGGCGUGAGAUACCAUACCCAGCUCCAUUUCAACUGCCUCAGUGUAGAAGAAAGCUGAGGGGGAGCCCAGGCUUCUCCCCUCUAACAUUCUAUAACCCAAAGCCUCAGGAGUCUGCUAGAGGCUCCUAAGAUGAGCUGGUAGCUUGUGAGUGUCAGCCUGUGAGCCACAGCCAGAACCCCUUUUAUCCCAACCUCUACAAAGUUUUCUGACUCUAAGUUUCUAUGGUAGUAGGGGAAGUGGUGGACGGUCCACCCCCAAUACCUGGACAGGCACUCCACCUACUGAGCUCAUCUUCAGCGCUGAGUUCUCUCCUUGUUUUUUUUUUUUUAAGACUUAUUUACUUAUUUAAUGUAUAUGAGUACACUGUCCGUGUCUUCAGACACACCAGAAGAGAGUAUUGUCAGAUCCCAUUACAGAUGGCUGUGAUCAACUAUAUGGUUCCUGGGAAUUGAACUCAGGACCUCUGGAAGAACAGUCAGUGCUGUUAACCACUGAGCCACCUCUCCAAACCUCUCCUUGUUUUUUGAAAAGGCAGCCUUUCCUUCCCAGAACUUGUGACUUUUACUUCUCCACCUACCUGUCACCUGUACCCUGUCACCUGAAUCUUGUCACCUGUAUCCUGUCACCUGAAUCCUGUCACCUUAACCCUGUCACCUGAAUCCUGUCACCUUAACCCUGUCACCUGUACCCUGUCACCUUAAUGCUUCCUAUGCUUCCUUGACCUCCUGCCUAGGAAAGUCUCCUUUCUUCUGCUGUGCACCUUCACAAGGGGCCCCCAAGUCCAUAAACACAUCUGCUAUCUGAUAAGGCACCCAGCACAAGAAAGGAGUUAGAGACAGGGAACCCCAGGACAAAGGACCUGUCUCAUGCAGUUGGGCAGACUGUCCCAUGCCCAGCAGGGUUCUCUGUAGAACUGCAGGGUACACAGGCUGAGCUUGCAGUCAACUGUGAAGGCAAUGUUAUGUUUCAGGUUCUUCCUUGAGGACCUUAGUCUGUCCCCCUCUUUAACUGGUAAGGGCCUUCCACAUGAUGGAGGAAUUUCUGCCGAUUUAAUGUAAGUCCCACCCAAAAGCAGCCUCACAGAAACGUCUAUAGUAAUGUUCAGCCAAAUAUCUGAUUGACACAUGAAAUUAGCCAUUAUAACCAGCUCGCAGAAAUACAUAAUUGCACAUGUUAUGUCCAUGAGUAUUUGCAUGCAUCUGUACAUGAAGCUGAGGCAGGAGGAUCAUGAACUCGGGGGUCACAUAAAUAGAAUUCUAUCUCAAAAUAAUUGACAAUGACAACUGUAGAGAGAUCCUCUUGUGUCCUGGAUGGAUGCUCACCUGACUAUUAAAAAGCCUAUGGCCUAAGCAGGAAAUAGAGGUGGGAUGAGGAAUUCUGGAGAGGAGGAGUCAGGGAGAGGAGGUGGGGUGGCGGGUGAGGAAACACCUGGUACCUGAGCACAGGUAACCAACCAGUCAGGUGGCAAAUGUAGCUUAUGGUGGAGCCACAGUAGAGCCUAGCUACAUCGACAAGGGGUCUGUAAAUGUAACUUGAGUCUGAGUCUUAGUUCUGGGAGCUUGGGCUGGCAGGAAGAACCCGGACUUAACUUUAUCAAAUGACAAUGCCUGGGAGACUUCUCAGCUAGUUAAGUCCCCUGAUGCCACCCAUAAUGUGGAAGGAGAGGUGAUCCAAACAGGUCGUCCUCUGACCUCCACAUCUGGGCUGUAGUGUGGGUUGCAGGCUACACACAUGAGCACACACAAACAUGCAUAUGAAUAAAUUUACACUACAGUGUGCACAGUGUGUGCUUUAUAAGCAAGCAUACAGCUCACAGAAGCAGGCAGGUUGCUGGGGAGACAGCUCAGCUGUUCAGAGCACUCACUGCUCUUCCAGAACUUGGUGGUGUAGCUCUGAGCACCAGCUGGAGGGGCUGUGUAACUCUAGCUCUAGAGCGGGGCGUGUGAUGCCCCCUUCUGACCUCUGGCACAAAUACACACAUACACGCAAAUACUGAAAACCACAUUAGAACAUAAGGAAAGGGCUGGCUUGGUGGUGCAUGACUUUAAUUCCAACUCCCGUGAGGUCAAGGCCAGCCUGGUAUACAUAGUGAGUUCGAAGACAAUCAGAGAGCUACUAAGUGAGACCUAGUCUUCUGCAAAAUGGCCUGAAGUUCCCGGUUGGAGGUUUUCCUGCCCUAAAUCUACCCAGAGAGGAUGUGGCAUACAGCCCACCCCAUCCCUACUCACGGGCUCCAGUGUCUCGGGGGUGACUCAGGAAGCAGAAGAUCAGAGCCCACAUAGUGUCAGAGCAUGGUGUCAGGGUUGUUUUAAGUCUUCUAUGUCCUGAGAAAAACUAGAGAAAUCGCAGCUGUCUGCAAGAACCAGUCACUGAAAAGCAGUGUGGGUGGAGUGUGUUAGAGAGGGAGGAAGGCAGAUGAGGGCGGAUGCGAUAAUGAGCUUUGGGCUGGAUGUUUUUUCAGGGGUUCCUGCUGCCCACUAGGAUCUGUGCCUUUCUUUUGUGGGGAUGGAUCUGCUGGCCUACUGGUUAGUGGCCCCUAUGUGGGCUUUGAGCUCUGUGUGGGUUUUUGCUAAGUUUGGCUCUUUGCCAGCAGCUUUCAGCCUGUCUCCUUUCAGUUUGUGGUCGUCUCCUUCCAGCUUGUCGUCUCCUUCCAGCUUGUCGUCUCCUUCCAGCUUGUCGUCUCCUUCCAGCUUGUCUCCUUCCAGCUCAGCCAAGGAGACUUCAGAGCCCACCCCUGGCCCUUUGUGGCUUUUUCACAUCUUUCUGAGAGUGGAAUUACCUAAUGCAUCAGGGGCUCCCAGACAAGGUCCACUGUUCUACCUUAGUGUGCCAGUUGCUUUCUUUUUCCUUCUCACUAGUGAUCUGGGAUCUGCCUCCGGUCAAGAAUCCCAGACCCUUUGCUACACUGAAGCUGGAGGACAAGUGUGCCUCUCCGGCCUGGGAAGGAGAAAAAGAAGAGCAAGAAGCAAUUGACCCAUUGCUGAAGUACAAACUGAAACGGACAGACGUAAUGAACAGGCAGUGAGGACAUUCCGAAAGUGGAACAAAAGGUAACAAACUCCACCAACCAUGUUCUUCAGAAGAGGUCAGAAUUGAUCGCCAGGAUCCGAAAUUUUGGGGUAACAACCUUCAAAGUCCACUGGAAUCAGAUGACUCCAUGGCUAAACUUUUGGCGUGCAGGCAUGAGACCUGGUGCUGGGGUUCUUUUUCCCACCCUUCUCCAUCCCUCUUCUUUGUGCCCCCAUCUACUCCCAAGCACUAGAUAGGAGAGGAGAGGAAAGAGAUCCCUUAAUAAAGUCUGGUCAGAAAGUGGCAACAGUAUCAUUGGACUACUUCCUGCUGCCUGGGGGCAUUGAGCUCCAUGGGGUGAGUUUGAUCUUUGCAGUCAGAAUAUCUAAUUUUUUACUUCAUGUUUCUUCUUAUGAACGAGACCAACAGCAUUCAACAGCCCAGCCUGCCCCUCUGAAAAGUCCCCAGGAUUCCAAGCAUGGCACAGUUGCAGAAACUGUCUGCCGCUGGCAAAGUCAUGGCCCUGCUAAGGCAGGAGGCAAAUCAUGGUCAGGUGACUUGAAGCAGCCCCACGUCCCCACAGCUGGGAUUAAAAACAAAACCAUAUUCUUAUAGUUCAGUGUUUUUAAGGAAACCAAGAUUCCAAAAUCUUCACUCUAUGAGCUCGUCAGCCUGCGUGUGACUCUAAACUCCAGGGUGGAGCUUGGACUCCCCAGAGCAAGCUGGCCAGCCAUAUCGGUGGGCUGUGGGUUUGACUGAAGGCCUUGUCUUGAAUAGCCAGCCAUUGUUGUUCUUCUUGUGACUUGGGUUGGGUUUUGGUCUCUUACCCUGUUGCAGAGAGAUAGCCAUUGGUUAGGGUUUAAUUUAAUUUUUUUGUUACGAUUUUAUUGCUGUUGUGUUGGUCAUGGGGUUAUGUUGCAUGUGUGCUGUAGCGUGUACAGAGAGGUCAGAGGACCCUUCUACCUUUAGAACAUGGUGGAGUUCCAGGCAAAGAAGAGUUUGAAGAGGCCUCUUGGCUGUGGGUCCUUCCAGCCUUCCUUGGCAGCGAGGAGACAGGUAGGGGCUGUCCCAGCAUCUGUCCUAUCCCACCAGUCUGUCCAGUGCCGGGCAGUCAUUGGCUGCAGCCUUCAUCUGGGCAGGAGGAGGUGGACUCAGGUCACUGACUUCAGAGCACACACUUUACCCACAGAGCAAGCUCCCAGUUAUGUGGGAAACACCAGUUCAGGCCAUUACGUCCCUAGACCCACAUGCUCUGAGGAUCUCAACUUUUCAGUUCUGCAACAUGAAAUUUUGCUGUUGGGUACGGCUGGGUCUAACUGGUAUUCCAAAAGAGUAUUCAAGCUUGUGAACAGGAGCUAAGGGGGUGGCGACCAUAUUAAACCCUUUAAACCUGUGAUUGGUGGCGUUUCCCAGUCCUUUAAAGGGGCUGAGGAUGGGGGUGUGGGUGAGGGAGAGAUGUCUAAGACUUGUACAGUGGGGGCCCUGAGAUGGUUCUAUGGGGAAGAACUCUCACCACCAAGCCUGAUGACCUCAAGUCACAUUGAUUCCCAGGCCCACGUGGAAGGAGAGAACCAGUUCCCUAAAACUGUCCUAUGAUCUCUGUACACAUUUAUGUCAUGGAUGCACCUACACAGACCUACACACAAAACAAAUGCUUCAAAAAAAACCCCCCAGAAAACAAAAAAAAUCCCAAUGCUGCUCCCCUAUCCCCACCCCCGAAUAAACCUUGAGCUGGCAAAAUGACUGUUUGGAAAAGGAAAUUACUACCAAGGCUAUCGGUCUGAUUGGAUAUGGGCAGUUUUCCGGUCGGCCUGUGGGGAAAAAGAAACUUAAGGCCAGGAACUGGAAAGUGAAAGUAGAGGAGCUGUGGGCGGGGCUUGUUCCCCAGCCAGCACUCUUACAUAACAGUGCCUGGCUUCAGUACCUUGUUUACUGGCUUUGUGCGUUUGCAUUCUGAAAGACUGAAGCUGUGGAUGACACUGGCUGCAAGGUCCCAGAGGCAGUAAUUAGGGUAACCCGCUCUCUUGAACCUUUGCCUAAAACUCUAGUGAGCGUGGGAGGCACAACCCAGCACCUGCUGGAUAAAGGGUUACUUUGACUCAUUCCUUUUUCUCUUGUGCAGUCUGUUGUCAGCCCUCCCAGGCUAAGGAGCGCCUAAACCCAUGCUCUCUCCCUGUCCCCCCUUUCUUCUUUGCCAUGCGUGUGCCAAAGAUUAAUUCUCCUGAUGUUGAUUUUAGAACAGGGACAGGACAGACAAAACUUCUACAUAAGUCUGCUGGGGAGAGGAGAGCAGGAGGAGGAAGACAGGAUGCUCAUUGAGUAACAAAGGAAUCCUUGUUUCUUUUACCCAGGCCCCGCCUUGCACUGCAACUUUCCAGCCAGGUUUCUACAGAAAUCUCCACUGCCCUUUGUUUGCCAUUUGUCCGCUGCUUAGCAUUGACUACCUGGAACUGCCAGGCUCCCCAAACCUUUAUAUAUAAUCAUUUCCCAAGUGAGUUCCCAAAGCCAAGGCUGCCUCUGGCCAUAAGAGGUCAGUGUGAGGGGCUGGAGCAGUGACUCAGUGGUUAAGAGCACUGGCUGCUUUUCCAGGGGAUCUGGGUUCAAAUCCCAGCACCUGCAUGGAGACGGAGGCUCACAACCACCUCUAACUCCAGCUCCAGGGGUGAUAACGACCUCUUCUGGUCUCUGAGGGCACCAGGCAUGUAAGGGAUGCACAGAUAUGCAUGUAAACAAAGCAUGCAUUUAAUACAUUUAAAGAAGGUUUUAAGAGAUGGGUGUGAUAGAACACCUGACCAUCACCAUCAUGGGACAGGAGCUGCCCUGGUGACUGAGCCGAGACCCCACCUUGUGGCCAACAAUGGCAUAGGCCACAUAUAAAAUUGAGGGGGCUGUUGGCAUUUUUCUGUUGGGAACAAGGGAGCUAACUUUAUAGAUAGCUGCCCUCCUAGAGUCAUUAGCCGCCACCUCCUCCCUGUUCGCUGCCAUUGGCUGAUACUAAGAUUGUUAGUGCAUCUUAAAGGAAACCUAAACCAGGGCAGGGGCAGUUGGGAGGCACGACCACCCGAGGUUAUACCCAGUGAUCCAUACACUGCCUUGAGUUGGACCCAUUACUCAUGGGUGAGCCUUUCCGUCAUUUUCUGAGGGGUUGGUACUGUCCAAACUCAUUAGAAUGUGGUCUGCUGUGUGAGAUGAGAGUGCCCUGCCAGAGUUUAGUCUCUGUUUGUUUUAUAAAGUGUCCAGACAGAGAGCAGCCUGAGGGAGGGAGGGAGGACUUUAUUCAGUUUAUAAUUCCAGGUUACAGUUAUCAGGAAGCCAAGGAAGCAGGGAUUUAGAACAGCCAGCCAUGCCACAGUCAGAAACACAGCCAGCCAUGCCACAGUCAGAGGCACAGCCAGCUAUGCCACAAUCAGAGGCACAGCCAUCCAUGCCACAGUCAGAGGCACAGCCAUCCAUGCCACAGUCAGAGGCACAGCCAUCCAUGCCACAGUCAGAGGCACAGCCAGCCAUGCCACAGUCAGAGGCACAGCCAGCCAUGCCACAGUCAGAGGCACAGCCAGCCAUGCCACAGUCAGAGGCAGAGAGAAUUAGUGCACACUGUAGGCUCGUUUGUUUGCUCAGUGCAGUCUUUUCACUCAUAGAAUGGAGGACCCGCUGCUGAGGGAAUAGUAAGACUGUCCAUUGUCCAAUCCAGUGAGUUUGUAGUCCCUGGACGUAGCAUGUUUGGGAAAGUGGCUGGGAAGUGGAAUGUCCCCACCCUUGGUAGUGAGAGAUGCUGCUGAGUACAAACUAUCCCCUAAAUGGGGAAGCCUACAGGAAGGAGACUUUAUCAGCAGAUAAGGCAAAAAAUAAUAAAAUUAGUAAAAAGGAAGCUAAAGAUGCUAACUUGCACAUUCUACGCUGGUAGGGUGAAAAAAAAAAAAAACACCCCACAGAGGUCAGUUCCACACGGGGCUAGAGAGCUUAUCCUGAGCUCCAAAGCCAUGGGCACGUGGGGAGACAGAUCCAGGUAGUGGGGGUCCGCGAUACGAAGAGUAGCUGAUUUAAAGGCUUGGCACUUCCAUGAAAGAGACAGUAUCUAUUUCAGCAUUAACAACAGCCCCAUACAAGGAAAUUUGGUGUCCCCAAAGUUUCCCUUCCUGAUCUAGUAAAAUUAGGGGCAGCGUUACGCAGGCUCAUGGGAACCCCUGUGGUGUGUCUGCAGGAUGUGAGAGUGAGGAGGGGAGUGCAGCAGAGGAGGUGAGGCCGCCCCACGCACCCCUUUGCUGCCUUCUGGUGAACUUUAAAUGCCAGUUUGACAGAACCCAGAGUUUCAGGGGAACAGAAACUCAGCUGAGGAGUUGUCUACAUCAGAUUGGCCAGUGGGCAUGACUCUGGGGGGUUUCCCUGGUUGACCGUACUUACUAUCUUAGGCUGUGCCACCCUAGGCAGGCGGUCCCAGCCGCAUAAGAAAGCUGAGCACAGCCCACCCCUGCCAGUUAGCAGCCACGUCUUUCAUGGUCCCUGCCAAACUUCUCUGUGUCCUUGGUCAUAUGUGUGGGGUGACAAGCAGGCAACGUGGACACAUUCAUUUCUCUUGACUGUGGACGUGGUGUGAGCAGCUGUCUCAGGCUCCCGCCACCGUGGCUUCCCUCCGUGAUGGACUGACUGUACCCUGGAAUUGUAAGCCAGAUAGACUUUCCCAUCCCUGCUUUGUGUUUUGGCUAAAGUGCUUUAUCUCAGCAAUAGAAAAGAAACUAGAACACAUUGCUAGGGUGAUUUGCAGCAACAUGAGGGGAAUCCACCUGUGAGACCUCUUAGAUAGUGGGUCUGCAUAGCUAAUGUGGUGGGCUGUGGACAAAGGCAAGGCCUUAGAGUGCACAGUUAGGAAUCAAAAGGUGCAGUGUGUUUAAGCUGUUGCUGCCAGUGCACACUCUGGCUUUGUCACAUGAGUCUGCCGCAGCCUUGUUUCUGAACAGGUAAGGUCACCCCACCCUGUGGACCACGGAACCAUGGUCCAAUUACAGGAAACAAAGACACUAUUGUCCUCAGUGUGUAAGCCUGCCUUUGGAUUACACUAUGCUAGAGUGGUUUUAAAGGCUGAAGGACGACUCAGCAAUUCACAGCACCAACUGUUCUUGGAGAGGACGGGGGGGGGGGGUUCAGCUCCCACCACUUACACAAUGGCUCACAACUGUCUGUAACUCCAGGUCCUGGGAACUGAUGCUUCUUCUGGCCCCCAAUGGCACCAAACACACCAUGGCACACAGAUAUGCAUUCAGGCACUCCCACAAAAUAAAAAAAUAUUUUAAAACUUGGUAUUUGAGUUGCUGACUUAAGUCUUACAAAAGCAAAGAACUGCUCCAGCAGGGGAUCCAGUUGGUUAGAACACAUGAAACCCUGAGUUUUGUAGUCAGCACUGCAUAAAGCAUGCAUUAUGUCACGUCCACAGCCACCGAGCAAAUAUGAGGCCAGCCUGGGGUACGCAAAAGACCCUGUUUCAAAACAUAGACACCAAAACAAGACAACAAACAACAAACAAACAAAAAACCACAAAACAUUGUUAAGUGAGUUUGGGCUUGGGAUUAGGACCUGUUUUUUGAAUGGCCUUAAAUAUACCUCUGUCAUCCUGCUCCAUGGAUUUAUAUGAAGUGGCAUUCUCAGUACUGAUGACUGUCAAAUCAAAUUAUCAAUAACAAUGAAAAACAUCAAGGGCGCUCUGUUCUUCAGGAUCAAUACUUGGCCGAUAUUCAGUCCCAUCCCUGCCCACGUCUGUUUUCAGGAGCUUAGUAGCCUAGGCUGGCCAUGAACUCACUGUGUAAAUGAGGAUGACUUUGAACUCCUGAUCCUUGUUUCUCUACUUCUCAAACGCUGGGAUUACAGGCCUGCCACACCUGACCGAGUUUAAAUCUAAAAAAGCAAGCCACAUAGAAAUUUGCUUUAGUUUUUAAUAACUUAUAAAAAUUAUAUAUGUAUGUCAAAUAAUACUUUUUGGUUGGUUGGUUGGUUGGUUUUUCAAGACAGUUUCUCCAUGUUGCCUUUGCUGUCCUGGAACUCUCUGUAGACCAGGCUGUCCUCAAACUCAGAGAUCCACCUGCCUCUGCCCCACAAACGUUCAGAUUAGAGGUGUGCACCACCACCACAGGCCAAAGAAGUCUUAAGGAGAAAGUUUUAGAAGCCUCGCUCUGAUGGAUUAAUUUAUAUUCCAUAUCCAUGAUACUUUCCUGCCCCAUUGAAAACUACACAAGAAGGCAAGGCUUUGCUGGGAAUCGGUAAUGAGGGAGGCACCACUUCAUGCACAAUCCCAUGGUCCAGACUGGACUGUGUUUACAGUACCUGGGAGAUGCUGACUCAACAGGGGCCAAAAGAAUUGGCAUAGCACCAGGCAUGGUGCCUCACUCAUUUAAUCCUAGCACUCAGGAGGCCGAGGCAGGCAGAUCUCUCUGAGUUUGAGGCCAGCCUGGUCUAUACAGUGAACUGCUAGCCAGCCAAAGCUACCUGGUGACACUCUGUCUCAAAAAAAAAAAAAAAAAAGUUAGGGGCUGGAGAGAUGGCUCAGUGGUUAAGAGCACUGGCUGCUCUUCCAGAGGUCCUGAGUUCAAUUCCCAGCACCCACGUGGUGACUCAUAGCCAUCUGUACUGAGAUCUGAUGCCCUCUUCUGGUGUGUCUGAAGACAGCUACAGUGUGCCUAAAUACAUAAAAUAAAUUGGUCGGCCUUUAAACUCUUUCUUCCAUAAGUUGCCUUUGUCAUGGUGUCUUAUCACAGCAAAGAGCGGCUCUAGGGGAGCAGACUCUUUUACGAAUCUGGAGUUGCUUUAAUAAUUCACCAGCACCUUCAACUACUGAGACCUCACCAGAUACUCUCUCUCCAGCAGCCACGGAGCUCAAGUUGCAGAAAAUCAAACAGAAGCCCUCAUUAUAAGGUUGGGUGAGUUACAACAAAAAUUGAAGUCUCAGCCUCAGAGAGGGUCAGCAGGACCCGUGCAAAGCUGAUCCAACGAGGGCCAAAGGAACCGGUUACACAGGCUCUGGUUACACUGCAGAUGCACUAGUGGGCAUGAGCCACGAUGCACAUGAGAGGCAGUGGAGACCUGGCUGGUUUGGAUCUCCAUGGUGGUGGGCUCUGUCAGGAUGAAGCUGAGCAUCUCCUUCCCAGCCACUGGCUGCCAGCAACUCCUGGACAAUGAAGCAAGCUCUGCCUAUUCCAGAGGCGAGAGGUUACAGAAGUAGUUGCUGAUCCUCUGGGUGAAUAGUGGAGAGGCUACAUGGUCUGAACCAGUGGUGGGAACAGCCGAGAAGGGUUUCCCUUGAAAGGGCCCAGCAAGGUGUGUGGACCUGCUGUUGUGUAAACCUCUUGUUAGAGACCAAAGAAAACCGGAGAGGGGCAGCCAGAGCCUGUCUGCAGUCACAUUAUGGAUGCCGGUCUGAUUUCUCAACUUGAUUAUCAUAAGCGAAGGAGAGGAGACUCCCAGACAGAGAGACAUGACUGUGCUUCAGCGGUUAGGACCCAGAAGAACUGCAGAAACUGAAAGCUUUUCAGUCUUUCUGAAGAGGCUGAUGGUGUCGGCCAACACAUUGUCAGAAACCACCACAGCUCCUAUGAUGGCCACAGCUCCAAGGACAACCAGGACAGCAAUGAUUCCCAUGUUGGAGUUGGUGGAUGGAGGAGCCUCAGUGAAGGACAGGAUCACACAACCAAAUGGGAAUGAGAACUGCCAUCUGUCAGCAGUGCCCUGGCUGAAGGACCUGACACAGUUUAGGAACAAAAGUGAAGCAGGGGAAACUGGGAAUGCCCUUCUCUCUUCCCCACCUGACUUGACCUGCAGACUAAAAGUUUGCCCCAACACUUAAAAGGAGAAUACCUGGAUAAGAAGGUGGUGGGCUCUGUCAGGAUGAAGCUGAGCAUCUCCUUCCCAGCCACUGGCUGCCAGCAACUCCUGGACAAUGAAGCAAGCUCUGCCUAUUCCACGAGAGGCGAGAGGUUACAGAAGUAGUUGCUGAUCCUCUGGGUGAAUAGUGGAGGGGCUACAUGGUCUGAACCAGUGGUGGGAACAGCCGAGAAGGGUUUCCCUUGAAAGGGCCCAGCAAGGUGUGUGGACCUGCUGUUGUGUAAAACUCUUGUUAGAGACCAAUGAAAACCGGAGAGAGGCAGCCCGAGCCUGUCUGCAGUCACAUUAUGGAUGCCGGUCUGAGUUCUCAACUUGGUUAUCAUAAGUGAAGGAGAGGAGACUCCCGGACUGACAGACAUGACUGUGCUUCAGUGCUUAGGGCCCAGAAGAACUGCAGAACUUGAAAGCUUUUCAGUCUUUCUGAAGAGGCUGAUGGUGUCGGCCUACAGGUUGUCAGAAAGUAAGCAGAGGAUGUAGAAGCCGAGGACCAAAGCCCCCAACAUCCAGCAGCUCUUUACACCAGCAAAACGCUGAUGUAUUGUUCAGUGGAGACACCAUGCUGUGGAGACGGAGGAGAAGCUGCAGCUAAGUGUUGGGCCAGGAGAAUGAAGGAAGUCAAAAUGGGGGAAAAUGCCAGGAACAGACUCCCAAGAGAUGUAGCCUGCUUCCACUUCCAAGUCAACAAAAAAUGAUCCAACUUUCAGAAAUACAUUUUGGUGGCUUGAGAGAGCAGCCAGAGGGCUCAGUGGGUAAAGGCACUUACACACCUGAGUUUCAUCCCUGGACCCACCUGGUGGAAGAAGAAAACGGACUCCAGCAAGUUGUCCUCUCUCCCCCACACCUGGGCUCGCACAUGCACACACACAAUACAUGAAUAGAUUUGAGACACCUUAAAAUACCAAAAAUAGAAUUUUUUUAUUAAACCCCAUUUCUACUAGUCCACAAUUCUUUUCUGCAUCAAAGUAAUUGGUCCCAACUUGACCUGAUUAAAUGUCCCCAAAACAUUGGGGGUAGUAGCCAGAAUGAGGUGUGUGAGAGGAUGGAGCUUGGCCCCCUCUCUGUGUCCCUUGACAACAUGGCAAAAUGCCUGACAAGAAGCCACUUAGAGAAGAGAGAGGUGGACAGAUCUUCAAGACAGAAAGGAGGGACCUGUUUCUGUCCAGUGUGGUAAGAAGUGGCCUGCUCCUGCCCUGGUCAUGAAGGAGUCCUGCUGGUGUGCUGCUGGUUUUCUCUUGAGACUCUGCCUAAGCCACCUGAAUGCCUUGUUGGCUAAACCUGUCUAGAGACACCCUCACAGCCACCCAAAGGGGCGUCUCCCAGGUCCUUCUAAAUCCAGUCGAGUUGACAAUGAAGAUUGGCCAACUGAUGGGAUAUAAAAGGAAAGAUUCCAUUCUUCAGUAGAUGUUGCAGGCGAUCCCAUAGGGGCGGUGGGGGAGGGGGCACAGCAGGCAGGGGAUCCUACAGGGCGGUGGGGGAGGGGGCACAGCAGGAAGGCGAUCCUACAGGGCGGUGGGGGAGGGGGCACAGCUGCACGUGUUCUGUUGAGCAUGUUCCUGAGUGAGGAGACUAAGCAAAGCCUUCUGAAAGCCACAGGGAAACAACACCCACAGUGGGAGCAGGGAGGACAGGCUGGUACCUCUUUUAGAAUGACAAGCUAAGCAAUCCUAAAGUCCCAGAGCGGAAUCCUAGAUGAGUUCUGUAGUUCUCAGUAUUCCAAGAGGGACCCUCGAUCUCCUACAAGAGUCAAAGCACAUUCAGGGCAGUUAUCAUAACUGGCGAUGUCCCAAAUAUCUCGCUCCUCACUCAGAGUACCCAAAUCCAAAGAUUCUAUACGCCCAUCAGGAGUCCUCUGUGCCACCCCAUGUCUUACCUGAUCAUCCACAACAAUCCUGCAAGAGUCUUGGGGACUGUCUCCAUCUAGGGAAGAACAAAACAGGACCCAGUCACACUUCAGAAGGCUGGAGGCUAAAGGAGGAACUAUGGGCUGGUGAGCUCCCAUGGGCCCCGAGGGUCUCAGAGAUCACCCCUCACCACACUCACCUGCUUCCUGGUGUCGUGCCUUCCUCUUUCACCUGAGGAAAGAAAACCAUGUAUGCAUGACAUGGGAGCACAAUCUUCCUAAUGCUGCAAUCUUUAAUACUAUAUCAUGUUGCAAUGACCCCCAACCAUAAAGUUACUUUGUUGCUACUUCAUAA